AGAGUUUGAUCCUGGCUCAGGAUGAACGCUGGCGGCGUGCCUAAUACAUGCAAGUAGAACGCUGAAGCUUGGUGCUUGCACCGAGCGGAUGAGUUGCGAACGGGUGAGUAACGCGUAGGUAACCUGCCUGGUAGCGGGGGAUAACUAUUGGAAACGAUAGCUAAUACCGCAUAACAGUCGACAUUGCAUGAUGUUGAUUUGAAAGGGGCAAAUGCUCCACUACCAGAUGGACCUGCGUUGUAUUAGCUAGUUGGUGAGGUAACGGCUCACCAAGGCGACGAUACAUAGCCGACCUGAGAGGGUGAUCGGCCACACUGGGACUGAGACACGGCCCAGACUCCUACGGGAGGCAGCAGUAGGGAAGCUUCGGCAAUGGACGGAAGUCUGACCGAGCAACGCCGCGUGAGUGAAGAAGGUUUUCGGAUCGUAAAGCUCUGUUGUAAGUCAAGAACGAGUGUGAGAGUGGAAAGUUCACACUGUGACGGUAGCUUACCAGAAAGGGACGGCCAACUACGUGCCAGCAGCCGCGGUAAUACGUAGGUCCCGAGCGUUGUCCGGAUUUAUUGGGCGUAAAGGGAGCGCAGGCGGUCAGGAAAGUCUGGAGUAAAAGGCUAUGGCUCAACCAUAGUGUGCUCUGGAAACUGUCUGACUUGAGUGCAGAAGGGGAGAGUGGAAUUCCAUGUGUAGCGGUGAAAUGCGUAGAUAUAUGGAGGAACACCAGUGGCGAAAGCGGCUCUCUGGUCUGUCACUGACGCUGAGGCUCGAAAGCGUGGGUAGCGAACAGGAUUAGAUACCCUGGUAGUCCACGCCGUAAACGAUGAGUGCUAGGUGUUAGGCCCUUUCCGGGGCUUAGUGCCGGAGCUAACGCAAUAAGCACUCCGCCUGGGGAGUAC
This 893-nucleotide ribosomal RNA is filed under the name uncultured bacterium. RNAcentral's name for it is "bacterial SSU rRNA". It matches the Rfam family "Bacterial small subunit ribosomal RNA", at positions 8 to 883 of the family's 1533-position model. The record is from RNAcentral.